This 2118-nucleotide long non-coding RNA is filed under the name Ricinus communis (castor bean). Its description in RNAcentral is "long non-coding RNA (RCOM_LNC001867)". Lineage: Eukaryota; Viridiplantae; Streptophyta; Magnoliopsida; Malpighiales; Euphorbiaceae. The record is from RNAcentral.
UUAACAUUAAGCACAGCCCAUUAACAUGUAAUUAAAGACGGCUCACCAACGUCCAGACUUGGAAACAAUUCGAUCAAUUUUCAGGGAAUUUAUCACGGCACUCCUGCAGGCUACACAGUCCUGCUCCUUGCAGGAUAGAAAUUCAUUCCACCCUUUUUUCCUAUAUAAUAACGUAGCCUCCUCUCCAGGCAUUACAUCAAUCUUGAAAUCAAACAAAGAAAAGAAAGCAGACUGGUAGAAUCCGAAGAUGGCGGAUGUUGAAGCUGCAGAGAAUUCUAGUGGGAUGAUGAUUCUUUGAUGUCCGAUUAUGAGAUUGGAGAAGCUGAUAUCAAUUCUCCUUUAGCAGACGACGAAAUGGUAAUCGUGAUUACCAUAGAAAACGAUCGCUCUUCAGAUUUACGAACAGUGACCAGAAGAGAAUUUCGAGUGUUACGCGCUGACUUGAUCGCCAAGGAAUCAUCAAGAGAACUUAUAUCCAAGAUUAUUUCUCACCUCCACAUGCAAUUCCCUUCAAACUUGAAGGCAAGAAACGGUGUCUUCGAUUUUCUGGUGAAUUAUGUUUCCUUGUUGUCUGGCGAUCAAGACCGCAUAUUCUUGUACGUCCUUACACUGGUUUCUUUGUGUUAUCACGUUGCUUCUACCAAAGAAUGUGAUCGCGAAAAGUAUGACGUCGUUUUGCAAGCUUAUAGCUUCUUGUUCUCUGAAGUAUAACUGAUGUCAACAAUGAAGAAUCAGAACCGCCAUUGCACUCUUCUGUCUAUGAACUUUGUUCAUGAUGAUGAUGAAGAAUUUGAUCCCGCGUAUUUCAUUAAACCUGAGUUUUAAUUGCUAAUUUUCUGGAUGUACUCUUUUGCUUUCUCUCUGUAAGAAUAUGAAUCUAGACAAGGUUAUGAACCUUCAGCUUUUAUCAACUCUAAAUGAAUGUUACUGGUAUGCUAAUUAAACUUUUUAAUACUAAUUCAUAAAUAUAGUUAGUUUAUCACAACUGAUAAAUUAAUUACUUUGCUAACUAAAUAACAAUUUACAGUCCUAAAAAUAAAAUACUAAUUAUAUUUUUAAUCAAAGUAAUGGAAACUUAGAUCUGUUUUCUAUUUAUUGGAUCUCAAGUUUACUGUAUUAUAAGCCGAGGGCUUGGCUAAUCAAAAGUAAGCACUGAUGUGCUGAAUAAGCUUUAGCCUGGAAGUGGGAAGAUGAAGAUCCUAUGGUUUUUAUGGGUCAAUGGGUGGAAACAGUUGAAUUCAUAGCAUAACUUCCAUGAAAAAUGGGCUUUCAUGUCGUAGCAACCCACCUGGUACUUGAGACUUUCAGAGCUGAACAGAACACAAUUUCUCAAAUCGGAUUAAUCUUAGUUGCAAACAAAUUGUAUACAUUUUUCUCAAUUUGUAUCUCAUUUGAAAUGAUAUUCAUGUAUCACAAAUUCUUAGACUUUUUAAACCUUUGGAGAGUGGAGAGUAAAGAUAAUAGAUUUGGAACCAGAAAUACGGCACAAGCAAAGUACAAAUUGCUUCCUGCUGCUAAAUUAGAGUGGGCCACAAACACAUCUCUAGAGAAGAGAGAGAGAGAUCUAAUCUAAAUGCCUUUUUUCGCAUUAACAGAAGAUUCUCACUUUGUCAUUACAAGACUCACUUACACUCAAGAUAGAGCCUAUAUUAAUACUUAAUUUUUAAUUUAAUAUAGGAAAAUAAAUUAUCAUUUACACUUGAAAACUGAGUAAAUAUGAAGUGACAAUUAAGGUAAAAUAUGUUAGAUUCAAUAGAUAUGUGGAAUUUUAUUUAUUUUGAAUAAAACAGAGUAUCAUAUAGAAAAAAGAAUACUGCACCAAGACUACAAAUUGAGUAAGAAAAGAAUGUGUAUUGUAAAUUUUGUAAUCAGCUAAGUACAACACAAAACAUACAGUAAAUGAAUGAUUAUAUACAUAUAAAGAUCAAUAAUAAUAAUGUAAAAGAAUUUAAAAUAGAAAUAAGAAAUGGGAGGGGAAAAGGUAAUUAGAUAAAAAGAGAGAUACCUUUUAAGUUUUUAUGCAUAAAAAUGGAGAUGAUAACCAGGCAAAUUAAGAGCUACUACAGCAUAUAGGAGGCCGCACAAGCAAGCUAGACAUUAUAACCUAAGGGAGGAAAU